RNAcentral lists this unclassified non-coding RNA (439 nucleotides) under Athalia rosae (coleseed sawfly). Its description in RNAcentral is "misc RNA ENSAEAG00005013004.1". The record is from RNAcentral. Lineage: Eukaryota; Metazoa; Arthropoda; Insecta; Hymenoptera; Athaliidae.
UAUUAGUCAACUCCAUCGGUUACAGUGAUCGUAAGAGUAACUCGAGAGGACGAUUGGCUGGUUUUCUUGAGAAGAUAUAAAAGCUGUCUCUGCAAGCAAUAAAGGAACGGUGAACGCCGCGCGAACACCUUCUGACCUACGGGCAAACGGACUGAAUCAAAUUUCAAAUGCAUUGCCGUGAAAGCGAGAGACGUAACAAUCUUCAUCUCGAAAAUACGGUUGAUGAAGUGUUCAUUCCCAAUGGACAAUUUACAGACUUCAAAUAGUCAACUGUCGACACCGAUUGGUCAUCCCUCAGCAAGGAAGAAAAUAAAUAUUCCUGAUUACCACACCGAUACAACUAGUAGCCUGCAGCACAUCAAACAAUCGCAUCGAAGAAAGUUGAAACUGCAGCAAAAUUAUUAAUAUAUGUACAUAUUCUUAUUCAUUUUAAAAAGUU